GACGGAGGAUGCAAGUGUUAUCCGGAAUCACUGGGCGUAAAGCGUCUGUAGGUGGUUCGAAAAGUCCACUGUUAAAGAUUGAGGCUUAACUUCAAAAAUGCCGUGGAAACUUUCAAACUAGAGUAUGGUAGGGGUAGAGGGAAUUUCCAGUGGAGCGGUGAAAUGCGUAGAUAUUGGAAAGACCACCGAUGGCGAAGGCACUCUACUGGGCCAUUACUGACACUGAGAGACGAAGAGCUAGGGGAGCAAAUGGG
This 254-nucleotide ribosomal RNA is filed under the name uncultured bacterium. RNAcentral's name for it is "partial 16S ribosomal RNA". It matches the Rfam family "Bacterial small subunit ribosomal RNA", at positions 524 to 776 of the family's 1533-position model. The record is from RNAcentral.